GUAAAUAUAACUUCCUUCAACCCCUCACCCCGAAGCUCCCAAUUUUUAGUUAUAUAUUACUUUUUCAUCCUCACAUUAUUGAAUGGCACAUUUAGCUCCCAUUUGCUUGUCCUUUGUACUAUUGUUUUUGUGUCAUGAACUUCUACUCAUGAGUACUAUAGAGUGUAGGAGUUUGAGACAAAGCAUCAUUCAGCCACCAAACACUUCCCCAAACAAAAUAGUUAUAAGCUUUGCAACAAGCACAACAAAAGUUUCCGUUGCAAAAACAAGCAAUGUUUACCACCGUAGCCAUAGAAGUUUGGAAGGUGAUGCUGAAGCUUUUAGGCCCACAACUCCUGGACACAGUCCCGGAAUUGGUCAUUAAUUUCCAUUAUAAUUAAUAAUUAAUUAUCAAUUAGUAACAUGCCAAAGAAAAUGAUGAAAAGAUCGACCAUCCAAAAAUUAUUGCUAUGUAGUGUGUGUGAGCUCUAGCUAAUGCUAUAUGUUAUUUACUAAAUUAAUUAGUUAUCCUUAAUUUCCUUAUGUUUUUAUUUUGUACAUGCAUGCAUGUUUGAUGCAUGCAUUAUUUUAGUUUGUCAUAAGUUUUCUGUGUUGUAUUAUGAUUGAUUAGCAUAUGUUUAUUAUAUU
This 627-nucleotide long non-coding RNA is filed under the name Cicer arietinum (chickpea). RNAcentral's name for it is "long non-coding RNA (CARI_LNC002255)". Lineage: Eukaryota; Viridiplantae; Streptophyta; Magnoliopsida; Fabales; Fabaceae. The record is from RNAcentral.